Molecule: ribosomal RNA, 253 nt
Filed under: uncultured bacterium
Lineage: Bacteria
Description: partial 16S ribosomal RNA
Rfam family: Bacterial small subunit ribosomal RNA
Source: RNAcentral
UACGUAGGGUGCGAGCGUUGUCCGGAAUUACUGGGCGUAAAGAGCUCGUAGGUGGUUUGUCGCGUUGUUCGUGAAAACUCACAGCUCAACUGUGGGCGUGCGGGCGAUACGGGCAGACUGGAGUACUGCAGGGGAGACUGGAAUUCCUGGUGUAGCGGUGGAAUGCGCAGAUAUCAGGAGGAACACCGAUGGCGAAGGCAGCCAUCUGGACCGACACUGACGCUGAGGCGCGAAAGCGUGGGGAGCAAACAGG